Molecule: unclassified non-coding RNA, 699 nt
Filed under: Hevea brasiliensis (rubber tree)
Lineage: Eukaryota; Viridiplantae; Streptophyta; Magnoliopsida; Malpighiales; Euphorbiaceae
Source: RNAcentral
GUUAUAAGUUGCAUACACCUAACACAGGAUAAACAUAAGAGAACCUACUAUAAUUCAAAAUUUGGAGGAGCUUUGGAGUUGAUGCACGAGAUACACAGUUCGCUACCAUGUAGAAAAGUAAACAAAAUGAAUCAACAGUUACUUUACACAUUCACUAAGAGCACCUCCAUGCUUACCCUUUUCCACUAAUUUACAAAGUCCUCUUUUUUGAUGAUGAGACAUCCUGCUUUGAAUCUCUUUUCCUUUUCUUUACCUGUUUCUUGAAUGAUUUUCCAACAACAGAUGGCUGCUGCUUCAAUGCAAAACUCUUUGCUACAUGCCCCAAAUGAAGUUUCUUCACCACAAAAAUUCUUUUCAACUCACCACGAUGAGCAGUAUAUGCACGAACCCAAGAGCAAAAUGCUUUCUGGGCCAGCUUCAUCAUUCUUGGCUCAGCUGCAAUGAACGAUUCGACAGCCCUCUGCAAGCACAUGAUCCAGGAAUGUGACUCUAGAGAGACAAAAUUCUCUACAAAUUGCUUCCUUCCACGAACUGGAAAACUAUCCAACACCUUGACAAGAGGAUAUUCAGCAAGAGAUACACCAUGGUUCUGCAAAUCUUGCAAAUAAUCUGUUUCAGUUGGCUGUAGGAAUAACAAUGAAUCUCCUCUUUCACCUAAGCGAGCAGUUCUUCCAACCCUAUGCACAUACUCAAUUGCUU